AUACGGGGGGUGCAAGCGUUAUUCGGAUUUAUUGGGCGUAAAGGGCGCGUAGGCGGCUUGGAAAGUCAGAUGUGAAAGCCCGGGGCUCAACCCCGGAAGUGCAUUUGAAACUAUCAGGCUUGAGUAUGAGAGAGGGAAGUGGAAUUCCUGGUGUAGAGGUGAAAUUCGUAGAUAUCAGGAGGAACACCGGUGGCGAAGGCGACUUCCUGGACCAAUACUGACGCUGAGGCGCGAAGGCGUGGGGAGCAAACAGGAUUAGAAACCCCGGUAGUCC
This 274-nucleotide ribosomal RNA is filed under the name uncultured bacterium. Its description in RNAcentral is "partial 16S ribosomal RNA". It matches the Rfam family "Bacterial small subunit ribosomal RNA", at positions 523 to 796 of the family's 1533-position model. The record is from RNAcentral.